AGUCGAGCGGUAGCACAGAGAAGCUUGCUUCUUGGGUGACGAGCGGCGGACGGGUGAGUAAUGCAUAGGAAUCUGCCCGAUAGUGGGGGAUAACCUGGGGAAACCCAGGCUAAUACCGCAUACGUCCUACGGGAGAAAGGGGGCUUCGGCUCCCGCUAUUGGAUGAGCCUAUGUCGGAUUAGCUAGUUGGUGAGGUAAAGGCUCACCAAGGCGACGAUCCGUAGCUGGUCUGAGAGGAUGAUCAGCCACAUCGGGACUGAGACACGGCCCGAACUCCUACGGGAGGCAGCAGUGGGGAAUAUUGGACAAUGGGCGCAAGCCUGAUCCAGCCAUGCCGCGUGUGUGAAGAAGGCCUUCGGGUUGUAAAGCACUUUCAGCGAGGAAGAACGCCUAGCGGUUAAUACCCGCUAGGAAAGACAUCACUCGCAGAAGAAGCACCGGCUAACUCCGUGCCAGCAGCCGCGGUAAUACGGAGGGUGCGAGCGUUAAUCGGAAUUACUGGGCGUAAAGCGCGCGUAGGUGGCUUGAUAAGCCGGUUGUGAAAGCCCCGGGCUCAACCUGGGAACGGCAUCCGGAACUGUCAAGCUAGAGUGCACGAGAGGAAGGUAGAAUUCCCGGUGUAGCGGUGAAAUGCGUAGAGAUCGGGAGGAAUACCAGUGGCGAACGCGGCCUUCUGGACUGACACUGACACUGAGUGCGAAAGCGUGGGUAGCAAACAGGAUUAGAUACCCUGGUAGUCCACGCCGUAACGAUGUCGAUUUGGAGCUGUGUCCUUGAGACGUGGCU
Molecule: ribosomal RNA, 786 nt
Filed under: uncultured bacterium
Lineage: Bacteria
Description: bacterial SSU rRNA
Rfam family: Bacterial small subunit ribosomal RNA
Source: RNAcentral